AUUUUAGUCGGGUUAAGUAGUGCCGAAGUUUCAUUAUCAGAAGUCGUGGUACGAGUUUAACAUCAGUCUUUGAAUGACAGCUAGAACUGGUGACUAAGGUGCGACUGGGACUUGGAAUCAAUUGGAAGAAAACACAGGAGGAGAAGAGAAUUCGUUCAUCAAAAUGGAUCUGGACCCAACAACAUCCAUACCAGCGUUCUACGCGGGCCGAAGUAUAUUUAUUACGGGUGGUACGGGUUUCAUGGGAAAAGUGCUGAUCGAAAAAUUGUUAAGAUCAUGUCCCGCCGUAGAGGAAAUAUUUCUAUUGAUGCGGCCGAAGAAGAAUAGCACCAUAGACGCCAGGUUAAAGGAAAUGCUAACUUCGCCGCUAUACGAUAAGCUGAGGAAAACGAAUCCCUCGGCCUUCAAAAAACUGAUACCAGUAGCAGGCGAUGUGGCGGAAGAAGGCCUGGGAUUACCGCCGGUAGAGCGAAGGGUUCUAAUCGAAAAAGUUUCGAUAGUAUUCCACGUCGCUGCCAACGUCAGAUUCGACGAUCCCCUGAAGCACGCUGUUCUCAUGAACACCAGAGGCACACGGGAGGUCUGCAUUUUGGCAGCGAGCAUGAAGAAGCUAGUGGUUCUCCUACACGUGAGCACCACUUAUGGAAAUACCGACAGACCGGUUAUCGAGGAGGUUUUAUACCCGGCUCACACCGAUUGGAAAAAGGCGAUUAAAAUUGUAGAAAACACAGACGAGAACAUUCUCAACAUCAUGACGUCAAAGUUCCUCGGUAAACUGCCAAACACGUACACCUUCACCAAGCAAUUGGCCGAGCACGUUAUCAAUGAGUACGCCGGAAUCAUUCCCUGUGUAAUAUUCAGGCCGUCGGUUGUUGUAGCGACACUAGAGGAGCCGAUGCCGGGAUGGAUGGACAACUUCAACGGUCCUGUGGGACUCAUGAUUGGCGGGGGCAAAGGUGUUCUAAAGUCAGUCUACGGUAAACCUGACCUCGUAGUGGACUUCAUACCGGUAGACGUGGCCAUAAAAUCAUUGCUCGUAAGCGCCUGGCAAAGAGGGAUAACACCUAUAACGCGGGACCCCAGCGUCCCAGUCUACAACUGUUCAUCGAACGGUAUAAGGGCGGUCACAACCAAAGACAUGAUUAAUCUGGCACUUGAAUCUGUCGCCGAGAUUCCCCUUGAAGGAUGUAUCUGGGUUCCCAACACCACCAUGUACUCCAACAUAUUUAUUUACUACCUGACUGUCUGGAUAUUUCAUGUUAUUCCAGCCGUGAUUAUCGACACUGUGCUCAAGAUAAGCGGCGCGAAGCCCAGGCUCUUGAGAUUGCACAGGAAAAUUUACACGGCAAACUUUGCAUUGACGCAUUUUUUGAAGGAGAAAUUUACAUUCGAACAUGCAAAACUACUGGGAUUAAACGACAUGGUGCCAGAGUUAGAUCGAGCGGACUUCAACGUUGAUAUUGGAAAAUUCGGAAUAAAGGAUUACUUCAGAGAGUGUUUAAUUGGGAGCAAGAUGUACCUCCUGAAGGAAGACAUGAAUAAAGUAGCCGAAGCUAAGGCCCACUAUGACAAGUAUGCAAUUAUUGACGAUAGUCCGAUGAGCUGGACGCGAUUUAAAAAUUCUUAAGAUGUUACGUGGUCACAGAGGCAAAUGACGAAAGUGAGAUAGAGAUGUUUAUAUAAUUUUGUACCGAGUAAAGAAUUCGAAUGACCGUAGGCAACAACUGUCGCGACAACUUUAUACCAUCACGAGAGAUCUUCAAGGUCACUCACUACGAAUGAGAAAAUAUAUUUCCAAAAAACAAACUGGCGGACUCAGAAUGGACGACUGGUUUAUGACAAAAUUAUUUAAUUUGUACAGAAUUCGGU
This 1869-nucleotide unclassified non-coding RNA is filed under the name Neodiprion pinetum (white pine sawfly). RNAcentral's name for it is "putative fatty acyl-CoA reductase CG5065, transcript variant X2". The record is from RNAcentral. Lineage: Eukaryota; Metazoa; Arthropoda; Insecta; Hymenoptera; Diprionidae.